GGAUGCGAUCAUACAAGCACUAAAGCACUGGAUCCCAUCAAAACUCCGAAGUUAAGCGUGCUUGGGCGAGAGUAGUACUAGGAUGGGUGACCUCUUGGGAAGUCCUCGUGUUGCAUUUC
This 119-nucleotide ribosomal RNA is filed under the name Triticum aestivum (bread wheat). Lineage: Eukaryota; Viridiplantae; Streptophyta; Magnoliopsida; Poales; Poaceae. The record is from RNAcentral.